CUUGACAACCUCCCAAGUGAAGUCAGGGUCAUCACGCCCGAAAUGGCCAUACGCAGCGGUUUUCUGGAACCUGAAGUUACCUCCCCUCUUAAGGUCAAGGUUAAUGGCCAUCAUUCCCGGCCUGAAGUCAAAUGCUUCCUUGAUCAACACAAGGAUAUCCUUGUCUGGGAUGGUCCCGGUCUUGUAGGUGUCAACAAACACUGAGAGCGGCUCAGGGACACCAAUGGCGUAUGAUACCUGCACGAUACAACGGC
This 254-nucleotide long non-coding RNA is filed under the name Arabidopsis thaliana (thale cress). Its description in RNAcentral is "long non-coding RNA (ATHA_LNC000019)". The record is from RNAcentral. Lineage: Eukaryota; Viridiplantae; Streptophyta; Magnoliopsida; Brassicales; Brassicaceae.